This 633-nucleotide long non-coding RNA is filed under the name Homo sapiens (human). Its description in RNAcentral is "HSALNT0124685". Lineage: Eukaryota; Metazoa; Chordata; Mammalia; Primates; Hominidae. The record is from RNAcentral.
CGCGCUGCGAGGGGAGGGCUUUCCACUGUCGCUGGCGUGAACUCGCGUGCCCGGUGGGUAUCAGGGAAGAACCCCCGCCCCGGACCCCCAGAUCUGCCAUGGCCGAGGCUUCACCAGGUACUGCCUUCUAACGAGCUGGCCAUUUCCACAUGUCAGAUAGGACCAACUUGCCUUUUAACUACCCGUGUGAUACUUAAACACUGUUGCCGGUAUCACAGCUUUUCUUCAAAACAGGAAGCAACGAGAAUGAGGGCAUUCCAGUAGCAGGAGACAGCAUGCAUAGAGAUGCUGAUGAAGAAAGAGCCUAGCGCACGUGGGAAACUGCAAAAGUUCAGACUGGUUGGAAUGCUGGAAAUGUUGUGAAUGACAGGAGAUGAGGCUGGCGAGAAAACAGAGGUCAGAUUGUGGAAGGCUGUCAAGCCAAAGACUUUGAUUUUAUUCUUGAGAUUGAUGAGAUGUGUGUAAUCCAGGAGUGUGCAAAACAAUCUGUAAGGGUUCAGAAAACAUACUGCUUCUAUAUAUAGUUACCUUUGUCUUAACUUGAAAAUUUCAAAUUGUGUAGGAGUUACAAUGUGUGUAAUUGUUAUUAUAGUACUGGAUCCAAAUAAUUUAUAAAUAAAUAAAUAUAGACAU